UACGAGGGGGGCAAGCGUUGUUCGGAAUUAUUGGGCGUAAAGGGCGCGUAGGCGGUGCGGUAAGUCACCUGUGAAAACUCUGGGCUCAACUCAGAGCCUGCAGGCGAAACUGCCGUGCUUGAGUGUGGGAGAGGUGCGUGGAAUUCCCGGUGUAGCGGUGAAAUGCGUAGAUAUCAGGAAGAACACCCGUGGCUAAGGCGGCUCUCUAGUACGGUACUGACGCUGAGACGCGAAAGCGUGGGGAGCAAACAGG
This 253-nucleotide ribosomal RNA is filed under the name uncultured bacterium. Its description in RNAcentral is "partial 16S ribosomal RNA". It matches the Rfam family "Bacterial small subunit ribosomal RNA", at positions 524 to 776 of the family's 1533-position model. The record is from RNAcentral.